UCUUCACUUUGGCGGUACUCCGCGUAAACCGUGCUUUUGGAUUUUCUUUUACUUCUCCUCGCUUUCCUCUGUCUGUUUGAAAAAGAAAAGAAGGCAGCAGAUUGAAAGCGAAGAAACCUCCGUUUACUCCCUCUUCUCUUGCAUUUCUCUUUCCCUUUUCACGCUUCUACUCUUUACUCUGCUCUACUUUACUCUUAUCUCACAAUCCUCUCUCUUUUUUAUCACCCAAACCCUAAUUUUACGAGGUGAAGAUUGCUCCACACUUGCCCAGAUCGUCUUCAAACUGAUUUUGGACGUUUUCUGAUUUCAAUAUUUCUCGAUUUAGUCUCAGAUCGCUUCUACUGCACUUCCACAAAAGUUGGGUGUGCAGUGUUAGUUCUGUGGCAUCAUCAAGAAGUUUCUGCCAGGCUUUCUUUUCAAUCAUGGCUGGUGAAUCCAAGGCAAACCUUUCCAAUGGCAAUGCCAAUAUACAGCCUGCUCCACAAAGAACUUAUCAAGUUGUUGUGGCUGCAACUAGGGAUAUGGGUAUCGGAAAGGAUGGCAAGCUACCAUGGAGGUUACCUUCUGAUCUCAAGUUCUUCAAGGAUGUUACUCUGACUACUUCUGAUUCUGGGAAAAAGAAUGCUGUUAUAAUGGGUAGAAAAACAUGGGAAAGUAUUCCACUUGAGCAUCGACCUUUGCCUGGUCGACUUAAUGUUGUUCUGACUCGUUCUGGGAGUUUUGAUAUUGCUACUGCUGAGAAUGUUGUGAUGUGUGGAAGCCUGAGUUCUGCUUUGGAAUUAUUGGCUGCAUCUCCUUAUUGUCUGUCAAUUGAGAAAGUCUUUGUAAUAGGAGGUGGCCAAAUAUUAAGGGAAGCUCUCAAUGCACCUGGAUGUGAUGCUAUCCACAUUACAGAAAUUGAGACAAACAUUGAUUGCGAUACUUUUAUCCCAACAAUUGAUUCUACUGUCUUUCAACCUUGGUACUCAUCCUUUCCCAUGGUGGAAAACAGCAUACGAUAUUCCUUUGCAACAUAUGUUCGAGUGAGGAGUUCUGCAAUUGAAUCCCAUGGCCAAAAUAAUGGUCUGAGCCCUGAUAGUGGUUCAGAAAACAGUAAGCUUGAGGUAAAGAAGUUCUCUUUCCUUCCUAAGAUGGUUUUUGAGAGACAUGAGGAGUUCUUUUAUCUUAGACUUGUUCAAGACAUCAUCUCAGAUGGGAUUUUGAAGGAUGACAGAACUGGAACUGGUACUUUAUCAAAAUUUGGUUGCCAGAUGCGGUUCAAUCUUCGCAAAACUUUUCCACUUCUUACAACGAAGAAAGUAUUCUGGCGAGGGGUUGUCGAAGAACUCCUGUGGUUCAUUAGCGGUUCAACGAAUGCCAAGGUCCUUCAGGAAAAGGGCAUUCAUAUAUGGGAUGGCAAUGCAUCCAGAGAUUACCUUGAUAAUAUUGGGUUGAAGGACAGAGAGGAGGGUGACUUGGGACCUGUUUAUGGAUUCCAGUGGAGACACUUCGGAGCUAGGUAUACUAACAUGCAUGCUGACUACACUGGCCAAGGAUUUGAUCAGUUGUUAGAUGUUAUCGACAAGAUCAAGAAUAAUCCAGAUGAUCGUCGGAUUAUACUUUCAGCUUGGAAUCCUUCUGAUCUCAAAUUGAUGGCACUUCCCCCUUGCCACAUGUUUGCUCAAUUCUAUGUAGCCAAUGGGGAAUUGUCCUGUCAAAUGUAUCAGCGAUCUGCUGACAUGGGCCUGGGUGUGCCAUUCAACAUUGCAUCUUAUGCCCUCCUUACAUGCAUGAUUGCUCACGUUUGUAGUAUGUAUUCUCUGAGAAAUCUUAAAACCAUUAACUAAUAUGCUACUUGUUGAGUUUUAAGAAUUGUUAAUGUUUAGUUAUGAACAUUUAGGCAUAUGAUCUGAUAAUUAACGAGUCAAAAGAGUCUUUUGGUGCCAUAUGAUUUCUGAAGGUAGUAAUAUACUGGUGCCUACUGCCUACUGAAGUUGAUGAAACUAUGCAGAUAAGAUUUUGUAGUUCUUUGACUGGUAGACUGAUUAAUAUUAGAUGGUCUACUCUAGUCUGGUAAAAUGACAAAACUAGUGGGUGAAAAGAGUACUAUGAUGCUGCAUCUGGUGGUAAAUUAUGUUUAGCUUGUGGUGCAGAUGCCUAUACAAGUUUUUGGACUCUAACACAUUCCAUUUAGUGGUAAUUGUUCUUGCAGAGGGUCUGUUGGGGUUUAGGAACCCAAACAGCUCUGUUGCGAGACAAUUAUUAAGAAAAGGAAGGAAAAUGGAAGAAGAGAGGAAAUAAGAUUCAGAUAGAAGAGAGUAGAGUAGAACUAUUAUGUUUCUUGAUAUUUCAGGAAUGCCUCAUUACAGUUUCCUUUGCUGUAUUUAUACAGCUUGUUCAGCUAAAUUCCAGCUGGUACACUUGAACUUUUCCUGCCAAUACUGACUGCCAUUAACAAUCUCUACCACAGUCUUUUCCUAUUCCUUGAUAUCUCUAGUAUAACUGUGCACCGUUAAAAUUCUGGCUACUACCUGGCUUCCUUCUAUGCCUUCUUUUGUAUAACAGGCCAACAGGGUCCUAAUAUUGCUAUAAGGGGGCAUCAUAACGAAUAAAUUGGUUAAGAACUAGAUAUUUAUAACCAUGAUGUUGGGCCUUAGGGGACUAGCACUGAUUGAAAGAAAGAUUGUUUAGUGGUCUGCAAUUGCCUUUUUAUCAUGAUUAUAUAUGUUUAAAAAUUUGUAUUCAAUUAUCUUUUGUUUUGAAUAGAUCUUGCUCCGGGUGAUUUUGUCCAUGUGUUUGGGGAUGCUCAUGUUUAUAGCACUCAUGUUAGGCCUCUCCAGGAACAGCUUCAAAAACUGCCAAAACCGUUUCCGGUUAGUACAAUGGAAGCAAUUUAGGUUGAUUAAAUUUUACAGUUACCAUUUUGGAAGUAUUGUUGUAUUGUUCUCUGCAUUUUCCUAUAUUCUUUCAUUGUCUUACUAGUGUUUUCAUGCAGAUUUUGAAGAUUAAUCCUGAGAAGAAGAACAUAGAUUCUUUUAUGGCAGCUGAUUUCAAAUUGAUAGGUUAUGAUCCUCACCACAAAAUUGAAAUGAAAAUGGCAGUAUAAAGUUCCUUCAAAGAUUCAGUGAACUCACGCUCUGGUUUGUCCUAGGCAUUAUUUGCUUGUGGUUUUGAGGCAGGUAUGUGUUUCUGCACUAAUUCCUCCUUUUACAAAUGAUGAUUUGUUCAAUAUGCUCUUUUUCAUCGUCUUUCUCCAUUAUGUCACGUGCUAGAUUAUUCAGUGUACAAAGAUUUGUGAUUUGAAAUAUAUAGUGCCCUGCUCUCUAGGGUUUUGAUUAAUGUUUGUGUAAAGUAAUGACAUGCAUUAUUGGGGAAUUUUAUGAGCUGAAACUUUGGUUUUUCUGUAAUGUUUCAGGCACAACUAUUGAAGGCUUACCUUGCUUGAGUGAUAGUAAACUAAAAAUUUGCUUGUUGAAUGUAUUCUUAUUUAGUGAGAAUCCUUUAGUUCCAAAGAGUUGAUGGUUCUAAGGUGAUUUAGGAUGUCUACAUUUUCUUGCUCUACGAGCUUAAGUUUUCCUUUAUUACUUGGGAAAUAUCACUUUAUUACCACAAUUGCUAUAGUAUUGUUUUUGGAAUGGAUUGGAAUUUGGACCGGUGAACUUUCAUAUAUGACAGUAUUCUGUUUUAUUUCAUGAUCAACUUGCGCAG
Molecule: unclassified non-coding RNA, 3687 nt
Filed under: Hevea brasiliensis (rubber tree)
Lineage: Eukaryota; Viridiplantae; Streptophyta; Magnoliopsida; Malpighiales; Euphorbiaceae
Source: RNAcentral